UACCAAAGUAGCUUGUGUAAGAAGAGAACAGUAUCGUAGCCACAGGGCCAGUCAGCUAAUCUACAAGGCAGACAGAACACACACAGCACUCACCUCUGUGCAGACCAAGAGAGAAGCAUGACGAAGCUACUGGAAAACUAAACCACGUCUCCAAGACAUCAUGCUGGAUACACAGGGCCAGUGGUCCGAGGCAUUAGCCGACAACAACAUGAGAGCCAUUAUCUGCUGGCUGCGGAAGCUUACAGCUAAAGAUAGGAGAAAUGGAAAGAUUUAGGUCUUUGAUACAGGGUAUCGUGACUCAGCUGGACAGACAAAAUGGGUGCAUUUGGACUUCUGAAGACUGCACAGACCAUUGCUAUCCUCCUCCUAAUCUGCAGGCCCUGCUAAAGCUUGUGCUGGUGCCUCAUAUCGACAACAUGUCAAUCCAAGCACUCGUAUCCAUCCAAAUACAGCAUCAACAAAUUCUUUGUCCUUUUUUCUUCUAUCGUGCUCUGUUCUGCUUUAUUAAUAAAUACUGUGUAUUUGAUUCCGGUUAUUAGUUCUUAACGUUUAUGCAUCACAGUUAAUGUACUUUGUUCUGGAUUUGGCGAACUUCCUGCAGUGCAAGGACGACCUCUUUAAAUCUUUCUGCCACGCUUGUACUAUUCCUUCCAGCUUUUCCCAACAUAUCAGGGCUUUCUGGAUGUUUGAUCAUGGACACAUCAAGGUACAUAACCAAGAAGCAAAAUAGAUUUUUACAUUAGGGGAGUGGCUGAUUCUAUUUAAGUCAUUAAAAUGAGCAUGUGCAUGCUGACUGUGAUGUGAGUGCAAUUCAGGGGCCACUUAACCAUCCUGUUGAUUACAUUAGCGUCUGUUUCAGCAGCCAUAAUGGACUGCAGGUGACACUAAUGGGCCACUUGAGUAGUGCUUAUGAUUAAUGUAAUAAUGCUCCACUGUGCCACUUAAUAGGGAUGAAACUACAGUAUACCUCUCUUUUGAAAGAGAAUAUUCUUUCAUGGAUGAUAAGAAAUGUGCCAGUUUAUUUCUUGGUCACAACAAGUAGGGGAGGUAUAACUGACAUAUUAAGUGGCAAGCAGCCUCAGUUGGCAUUAAGGUACCUCCACUGGACCAGAGCGCUGAGGAUGCUAAGCUCUGUGCAGAUGUGUUACUUCUAAACAGGUACAUUCUGGUACAUUAAUGGCUAGCCAGUCAUAUGUUGAAUCUUAUUGUCUUACUGUGUGUCGUUGACAAUGUCUUUGGUCUCCAGUUGUGUCUCUGAAGCCUGGGCUCUGCUGAAGAGAGGCCACACAGAAUGUGACAAUGUGGUCAUGUACCUCCUCCAGGCUUGUAAUAGACUUGGUCUAUGUGCAGAUACUUUAACGUGCAUCCCUGCAAAAUGCAAUGUAGGUGAAUGUCUUGUAAUACAGCGAAACAUAUGCUUUUUUUCCCAAAUUCUUUUAACAGGGUGCCAGAGGCACUGUAAAUGGGACUACAGGGUCACAGCUGCCACUGAUGAACAAAGGAAGGCCACCCUGCCCGCUGUCUGCCAAACUGUAUCAGGCCCAGAGAGUCAACACAGUGUCCCCAGAGGAACUGGUCCAACUACUCAGAAAGGCUGUGAUGGAAGCCACAUCCCAAGAUAAGAGGAUCUCCUCUUUCCUCAAUGAUGGAGAGAACUAAAGCAGGGAAGAGGAAGAAGAAGAAAAGAGUGGAACCCCUUCAUCAGUUGAUGGUGACGCCUUCCCAGAUUGCCUUGAGCUGACAAUGACACUAGAUGGCGCCACAGACCCCUUUUUUCUGGGCAACUUGAACAAAGACGUUUUGAUAGAGCUGGUGUUUUCUGCAGAGGAGGGAGAAGAGGAUGUUCAGACAGAUAUUUUCUCAGGCGAGGAUCUUUUCAGUGAUGCAGUUUCAGGAAUUUCCAUGGAUGAAACCCUUCCUGUACACAACAACAGUUCUACAGUAAUGAGGUCAGCCAAUCAGUGCCCUCCCUAUGUGAGCCCCAGGUGGAGAGUCACAGCUUCCUCUCACCUGACUACGCUGUCAGAGAAAAUAUCUUGCUGUAAAGGAGAAGAAAUCCUUCAUGGUCCCCCAGAUGUCACAGAUUUGUGGAGCGCUGCAUUGCCACUCAGCCAAGAAGAACAAUCGUAUUGCAUCCCUUCACAGAUUUUCAGUUUUAGUGAAACAGGCUGUUUCCUGGAAGAAUGUCACCAGAAAACAUAUGAGCAUCACCAGCAAGAGGAAGCAGUGGGAUGCUUCAAUCAAGACCUUUCCUGUGCCUGAAACCACUCAGGACAUGCUGACUGACCUUCCUCAGAGCCUUCUGCCAGAGGAUCAUGUAGCCAGUGGCCCAGGGGUCUCAGCAGGGACUGCUCAGCAGGACAUUGCCCUUCUCACCCCCAUGUGCUCUAUUUUCCCCACACAGCUUCAGAUCUCUGGUAUCCCUCAGACCCCCAGCCUAACCUGCAACAUCACAACCACCUCUGCUCCUUCUGACAUCACCAACGAGAACUCCCCCAAAGCCCAAUUAAAAACAGAUGAACCCUGUGUCCAGAGCACCUCAGCCUGGCUCGAUCGUUGCAAAAUGGGCAGCUGGUGGAAACAGGACCUGGAAAACUGUAGAGCAGGGGUCACCAACCUUUUUGAAACUGAGAGCUACUUCAUGGAACAGGCCUGAGGGCUACUCAUGUGGUCCUUGGGGGCUACCUGGUGCCCGUGGCCUGCUGUAGAGCUUCCACUGGCCUUCUAUCUGCUACAGAGCCAGGAGCAGCUAUCCCAUCAGAUAAUAAGAGGCCUUCUCUUGCACUAGGCCAACCAUAUUCCUACGACUUUAUGAACUUCACUGAAAAGCAAAAAGGGGAUAGCAGAGAUGGCUUCUAUUGAAGCUGUGGGUGUUCAUUAUAAGGAGAUAAAAGCCAGUCUGGCCAGUAGGGGUCACUAUUGUUCCAGUUAAGAAAGCUUGACAGCACCUCUGAUUUGGAUGAUCUCAUUUCUGGUCCCUGGAGAUGUUGCUUCAUCACAGCCCAGCAGGUGCCCUCUUUACUACCCUUCAUCCCUCUUUCUCCUGUCCUCCAGCAUAAACACCAUUGCUUUUAAGAUCUCCGCCUACAAUGAUGUCAUUUUCUAAAUAUGAAGGCAGUAUUUCAGGGGAUAUGAAUUAAUUGUAUAGUAUAUUGAAGUACAGAGUCAAAUGUGCAUGAAAUACCACAGAAUGAAGCUAUUAUUUAUUUGUCAAAAAUACAAUAUCUGUCGCUGAUGUACUACUUAUCUAUUUAUAUUACAUAAUUUUACUGUUGUGCGUUGACCUGACCAUUACACUGCUAAGCGCUGUAAUAUUAUUGCAGGGAUAUGACCAGGUAAUUGCUUUACUGCGGUUUGAUCAUUGGAUAAUUGUUUGAUUGGGUUGCAGUCACCUAAUUAUUUUGUUCAGAAUUGGGGACCAUAUGGAGCUUGGCAGGUGAAACGUAAUUGGGCUAUGUUAAGUUAUGAUGAUUAUACCUUGGGCCUAAAUAGCCUAUACUGUACAAACAGUGCGUGCCUAUCCCAGGCAAUCUAUUUUGGUUGCAUGGUGCAUGUUUGUAAUGAAUGCAUUACAUCAAUUAACUUGAAGUCUCAGUGUGAGAGUGUUUCCAGGGGGUUGUUUUGAAAGAAAUGUUAUUUAAUCGUUCAACCAGUCCAGAAAUGAUGCUGUGUAGGAUUUGCUUAAUUGGCAGACAGAGAGAUAUUUGAUGACUAAUGUGUGAAAAUUAGUUUAAGACAAACCCUUGCUGAUCAAACUAUCAUCUGUUUAAUGCCAGGGUGGCUAAAAUCUGGAUAUUAAACAUAGUUAUUAGUGUAAACUAUACAUUUUGAUCUUGUCCCAUAUGACCUCAUGCAUGACUGUUUAUGACGAUUAUUGUGGCACAGUUGAAAAUGAGAUAUUCACCAUGGUGAAAACAAAGUCAUCGAUCAAAUCGUAGAAGCUCAAAAAGAGAUCCUGCCCGCUUAAAAAGAUAUCACAAAAUGAAAUAUUAUCGACUUUGCUGUCUUUAUGAAAAUACCAAUAUUUGCACAGAGAGAGGCGGGGAGUAGUAGUGUUGGGUGAUGUUGCAUUUUGAAACGAGGGGAGACGAAUGGCCUCUAUUAGGAGCAUUUAAUCAGUGCUCCCAGUCUCCUGCGCCCCCCUGGGGAAAGAUUAAUGGGUACAGGAUAUUUCACCAGGCCUUCCACAUCACUGCCCAGGAUAUGAGGCUGUAAUUGGGUCUGUUUUUGCUGUUGUUUUGUGUUACAGGGAGACAAAGAGGAGCUCGCAGGUUGGAGUAGUUUGGGUAAGGAUUCACAAGGUGCCAUAAGAAGUGUGAGAACACUAUUAAGGAAAGGAAAAUGAGUGAAGAGAGCAUGAAGAUUUAGCACAUCUAUGACACAGGACAGCGCACGAGAACUGAACUGAAUGAAAUAUAUUCUCUAAGUCUUUUAGAAUUAUGCAUCUUUCCUUUGAUUCAGAAACCUAAAGCAAUACUGUAAGGAUUAACAUACACCAAAAUGAACUUACUGAUCAUGCGAAAGGCUUGAUGAUCAUUACAUAGACUUUUCACCUUGACGUCUUCUUCCUCAUCAAUCAUCUAGUCAAGAUGUCCGACCUGCCAAACCCUUUUUCUUCCACUGUAAUACCACGUGUCAGAAACACUCAAUAAUAAUGAGUUACUCAGGAAUUAUUGAUACACAUACAUUAUUAAAUAUUUGCUAAUUAAAACUCUAGUAAAAAUAGAUAUUUUUUGGCUUAUGUUUUGUAUUUUUAUUAUCUGGUCACAAGGAUGCAUGUUGAUCCAUUUGAAACAUAAAUGCACUACAUUUGAAAUGCA
RNA transcript from Perca fluviatilis (European perch), 4820 nucleotides. It is a transcript of the gene named transmembrane protein 179, with no coding region annotated. The record is from RefSeq and is a predicted model, not a curated record. NCBI's taxonomy places the organism in Eukaryota, Metazoa, Chordata, Actinopteri, Perciformes, Percidae. The transcript has 11 exons.